Molecule: ribosomal RNA, 835 nt
Filed under: uncultured archaeon
Lineage: Archaea
Description: bacterial SSU rRNA
Rfam family: Archaeal small subunit ribosomal RNA
Source: RNAcentral
GGCUACCUGCCCUUGGGACNNGANCCCCCCGGGAAACUGGGGCUAAUUCUCGAUAGGUGAAGAACCCUGGAAUGAGUCUUCGCUUAAAAGAGGCUGGGGUUAUGCUCUCCAGUUUCGCCCAAGGAUGGGGCCGCGGCCGAUCAGGUUGUUGGUGAGGUAAUGGCUCACCAAGCCUUUUACCGGUGCGGGCCGUGGGAGCGGGAGCCCGGAGAUGGGCACUGAGACAAGGGCCCAGGCCCUACGGGGCGCAGCAGUCGCGAAAACUUUGCAAUAAGCGAAAGCUUGACAGGGCUAUCCCGAGUGCCAUCCGCUGAGGAAGGCUUUUACCCAGUCUAGAACGCUGGGGGAAUAAGGAGAGGGCAAGUCUGGUGUCAGCCGCCGCGGUAAUACCAGCUCUCCGAGUGGUGUGGAUGUUUAUUGGGCCUAAAGCAUCCGUAGCUGGCUGGGCAAGUCCCCUGUUAAAUCCACCGAUUUAAUCGUUGGUUUGCGGGGGAUACUGCUCGGCUAGGGGACGAGAGAGGCCGACGGUAUUUCCGGGGUAGGGGUGAAAUCCUAUAAUCCCGGGAAGACCACCAGUGGCGAAGGCUGUCGGCUAGAACGCGCCCGACGGUGAGGGAUGAAAGCUGGGGGAGCGAACCGGAUUAGAUACCCGGGUAGUCCCAGCUGUAAACGAUGCAGGCUAGGUGUUUGGGCGGCCACGUGCCGCUCUAGUGCCGCAGGGAAGCUGUUAAGCCUGCCGCCUGGGGAGUACGGCCGCAAGGCUGAAACUUAAAGGAAUUGGCGGGGGAGCACCACAAGGGGUGAAGCUUGCGGUUUAAUUGGAGUCAACGCCGGA